Molecule: ribosomal RNA, 490 nt
Filed under: uncultured bacterium
Lineage: Bacteria
Description: partial 16S ribosomal RNA
Rfam family: Bacterial small subunit ribosomal RNA
Source: RNAcentral
UGAACGCUGGCGGUAGGCCUAACACAUGCAAGUCGAACGGCAGCACAGUAAGAGCUUGCUCUUACGGGUGGCGAGUGGCGGACGGGUGAGGAAUACAUCGGAAUCUACUUUUUCGUGGGGGAUAACGUAGGGAAACUUACGCUAAUACCGCAUACGACCUACGGGUGAAAGCAGGGGAUCUUCGGACCUUGCGCGAUUGAAUGAGCCGAUGUCGGAUUAGCUAGUUGGCGGGGUAAAGGCCCACCAAGGCGACGAUCCGUAGCUGGUCUGAGAGGAUGAUCAGUCACACUGGAACUGAGACACGGUCCAGACUCCUACGGGAGGCAGCAGUGGGGAAUAUUGGACAAUGGGCGCAAGCCUGAUCCAGCCAUACCGCGUGGGUGAAGAAGGCCUUCGGGUUGUAAAGCCCUUUUGUUGGGAAAGAAAAGCAGCAGGUUAAUACCCCGCUGUUCUGACGGUACCCAAAGAAUAAGCACCGGCUAACUUCGUG